GGUUCCUCGCUUUCAUUGGUGGAGGGUGUCGUAGAUAUUUCGUCCCUUCGAUCUCCAUGAGGAUCUGUGCACGAGGAGUAGAGAGAGAGAUAUAGGAAUUAUACCUGUUAUGUGUCGGCCUUGGACUCCAUCGUCGGGAUGAGGCUUGCUUGUUGGAUGGGGGCCUAUUUGUUUCGGUCGAAGUCCCAUUCUUCUUCUGUUUUUUCUUUUGACCUUUAUUUUCUGCCUGACACCGGUCAGAAGCUCCUUUGUCUGCGCGCAUG
Molecule: long non-coding RNA, 263 nt
Filed under: Elaeis guineensis (African oil palm)
Lineage: Eukaryota; Viridiplantae; Streptophyta; Magnoliopsida; Arecales; Arecaceae
Description: long non-coding RNA (EGUI_LNC010962)
Source: RNAcentral